AGCGAACGCUGGCGGCAGGCCUAACACAUGCAAGUCGAACGAACUCUUCGGAGUUAGUGGCGGACGGGUAAGUAACACGUGGGAACGUGCCUUUUGGUUCGGAAUAACUCAGGGAAACUUGUGCUAAUACCGAAUGUGCCCUUCGGGGGAAAGAUUUAUCGCCAUUAGAGCGGCCCGCGUCUGAUUAGCUAGUUGGUGAGGUAACGGCUCACCAAGGCGACGAUCAGUAGCUGGUCUGAGAGGAUGACCAGCCACACUGGGACUGAGACACGGCCCAGACUCCUACGGGAGGCAGCAGUGGGGAAUCUUGCGCAAUGGGCGAAAGCCUGACGCAGCCAUGCCGCGUGAAUGAUGAAGGUCUUAGGAUUGUAAAAUUCUUUCACCGGGGACGAUAAUGACGGUACCCGGAGAAGAAGCCCCGGCUAACUUCGUG
RNAcentral lists this ribosomal RNA (433 nucleotides) under uncultured bacterium. Its description in RNAcentral is "partial 16S ribosomal RNA". It matches the Rfam family "Bacterial small subunit ribosomal RNA", at positions 29 to 507 of the family's 1533-position model. The record is from RNAcentral.